UUCUCUUAUUUUUUAGCUAGGGUUUAAACUUCUUUUUUUCCUUUUUCUCCUCUUUCGGUUAGGAUUUGUACUUUUCAUUUUCUUCUAUUUCUCUCUACCAGUACUUUCUCCAAAAUCCUCCCUAUAUGUACCUUGAGAUAUCACUGUCUGGAUGACUGUUUAAGGCCAUAGAUAGAUUUUUGUAAUUUACACACCUUAUACUCUUGACCUUCUUGAACAAAAUC
RNAcentral lists this long non-coding RNA (224 nucleotides) under Elaeis guineensis (African oil palm). RNAcentral describes it as "long non-coding RNA (EGUI_LNC023582)". Lineage: Eukaryota; Viridiplantae; Streptophyta; Magnoliopsida; Arecales; Arecaceae. The record is from RNAcentral.